RNAcentral lists this ribosomal RNA (429 nucleotides) under Gemmatimonadota bacterium. RNAcentral's name for it is "Gemmatimonadetes bacterium partial 16S ribosomal RNA". It matches the Rfam family "Bacterial small subunit ribosomal RNA", at positions 355 to 776 of the family's 1533-position model. Lineage: Bacteria; Pseudomonadati; Gemmatimonadota. The record is from RNAcentral.
UAGGGAAUCUUCGGCAAUGGACGAAAGUCUGACCGAGCAACGCCGCGCGAGUGAAGAAGGUUUUUGGAUCGUAAAACUCUGUUGUUAGAGAAGAACAAGGACGUUAGUAACUGAACGUCCCCUGACGGUAUCUAACCAGAAAGCCACGGCUAAUUACGUGCCAGCAGCCGCGGUAAUACGUAGGUGGCAAGCGUUGUCCGGAUUUAUUGGGCGUAAAGCGAGCGCAGGCGGUUUCUUAAGUCGGAUGUGAAAGCCCCCGGCUCAACCGGGGAGGGUCAUUAGAAACUGGGAGACUUGAAUGCAGGAGAGGAGAGUAGAAUUCCAUGUGUAGCGGUGAAAUGCGUAGAUAUAUGGAGGAACACCAGUGGCGAAGGCGGCUCUCUGGUCUGUAACUGACGCUGAGGCUCGAGAGCGUGGGGAGCAAACAAG